RNAcentral lists this small RNA (98 nucleotides) under marine eukaryotic metagenome. RNAcentral's name for it is "t44 RNA". It matches the Rfam family "t44 RNA". Rfam says of the family: This family consists of a number of bacterial RNA genes of between 135 and 170 bases in length. The t44 gene is found between the map and rpsB genes in all species in the full alignment apart from Shigella flexneri. The record is from RNAcentral.
UUAACUAACGUCGCACAUACAUCGUCACAUGAGUUCUGGGUGCCUCUCUGAAGCAGUAUUUUAGAUUGGUUGAGCCAUGGGGUGUAUGGAGGCCUAAC